GACGAACGCUGGCGGCGUGCUUAACACAUGCCAGUCGAACGGAAAGGCCCUGCUUGCAGGGUACUCGAGUGGCGAACGGGUGAGUAACACGUGGGUGAUCUGCCCUGCACUUCGGGAUAAGCUUGGUAAACUGGGUCUAAUACCGGAUAGGAACCAUCUUUAGUGUGGUGGUUGGAAAGUUUUUUCGGUGUAGGAUGAGCUCGCGGCCUAUCAGCUUGUUGGUGGGGUAAUGGCCUACCAAGGCGGCGACGGGUAGCCGGCCUGAGAGGGUGGACGGCCACAGUGGGACUGAGAGACGGCCCAGACGCCGACGGGAGGGAGAAGGGGGGAAGAUUGAACGAUGGGCGCAAGCCUGAUGCAGAGACGCCGCGGGGGGGAUGAAGGUCUUAGGGUUGAAAACUCAUUUCGCUAGGGACGAAGCUUUUUGUGACGGUACCUAGAUAAGAAGCACCGGCUAACUACGUG
RNAcentral lists this ribosomal RNA (465 nucleotides) under uncultured bacterium. Its description in RNAcentral is "partial 16S ribosomal RNA". It matches the Rfam family "Bacterial small subunit ribosomal RNA", at positions 28 to 507 of the family's 1533-position model. The record is from RNAcentral.